UUUUGUUCGGAACAUCUGAGUCUCCCUGCGGGGACUCCUCGGCCCAGAGUAGUUUCUCCCUCUGUGCAAGAGAGGAUGUGAGAACCCCCGGGAGCAGACUGAAGCAAGGUUAUCAACCUCUCACCCACCCUGGGCCUUGCCACCAAAAAUAGCAAGGGCCAGGGUGUCAGCCCUAGGGAGGGGGUGGCUGGGGAAGCCUUUGAACCAGAAGAUACCUGGGAGCUAAGGCUGGGUUUGUUAAUGCGCAGGAAGGUGACAGUGGGUGGCCCUGGGUUUUCUUUGGCUCCAGGAAGGCUAAUAUCACCAGCUCCAAUCAGCAGCAGCAGGGCCUGGGAAGUGAGGCCAGGGCUUAGCUCAUAACCUGCUGUACGACACUGGGUAACUCAUCUCCUUGCUGAACUUCUGUUCUUUCUUCUACCGCCCGGUCAUCUGCAGCGUGGUCACUUACGGAUGGAUUCCUUCCUCCCGUGGCCUUCCUAGAUUCAUGCCCUAGAAGACUUGGUGGUUGUCUUGCCGCAGUACUGAUCUUCGCCCCUCCUUGGAGUGGGGUUCAGGCCUGGCCAGUCUGUGACCUGGGCUGAGAUCUUUAAAAAGCCGCAAGAAUUACGUGCACGGCUCUCCCCCUCUGCCAGAGACCUCAUCCGCUAAGCAAGGACUUUUCCUGUCUUCUUCCUUCCUGGCCCCCAGAAAACCUCGAGAUGGAAUUCGAAGGUGGAGGGGCAGCAGGAACAGGCCUAGAACAGCAUACUGGAAGACUGGGAAGGAAGUGAGCGCUGUCUGGGCUGUGAGGCAGACUGCCUGGUUAGGACUGGGACCUUGUGCCAGCCGAGAGAAGGAGUGAUACCUCAGGGUGAGCAGAAAUGGAAGAGAGUCUUCAUCGCUCCAUCCUCACCUCUGGAGUGAUCAUGUGCCGUGUGCGGUCUGCACGCUGCACAGCUGGUCCUGUGUGUAGGCCUGCUUCUUAUCUCACCUCGCCUUGCGUAAGUCAAAUGCAGUCCAUCAACCUACAUCCCGGGUACCCCAGGCCGAGCCGUCUGAGGGCAGCAUUGGCCUCUGGCCCCUUUUCUUGAGGCCCAUAUGGAGAUCCAGAACGACGGACAUGGGGUGAUGGAGGUCAGCCCUGGAGGAGCAUGGGAUACAAGCACAGCACAGCAAGCAGCCCAGAUGGCACCGGGU
Peromyscus maniculatus bairdii (prairie deer mouse) is the source of this 1176-nucleotide non-coding RNA. NCBI's taxonomy places the organism in Eukaryota, Metazoa, Chordata, Mammalia, Rodentia, Cricetidae. The record is from RefSeq and is a predicted model, not a curated record.